GAUGAACGCUGGCGGCGUGCCUAAUACAUGCAAGUCGAGCGAACAGACGAGGAGCUUGCUCCUUUGACGUUAGCGGCGGACGGGUGAGUAACACGUAGGUAACCUACCUAUAAGACUGGGAUAACUUCGGGAAACCGGAGCUAAUACCGGAUAAUAUUUCGAACCGCAUGGUUCGAUAGUGAAAGAUGGCUUUGCUAUCACUUAUAGAUGGACCUGCGCCGUAUUAGCUAGUUGGUAAGGUAACGGCUUACCAAGGCAACGAUACGUAGCCGACCUGAGAGGGUGAUCGGCCACACUGGAACUGAAAAACGGUCCAGACUCCUACGGGAGGCAGCAGUAGGGAAUCUUCCGCAAUGGGCGAAAGCCUGACGGAGCAACGCCGCGUGAGUGAUGAAGGUCUUCGGAUCGUAAAACUCUGUUAUUAGGGAAGAACAAACGUGUAAGUAACUGUGCACGUCUUGACGGUACCUAAUCAGAAAGCCACGGCUAACUACGUG
This 497-nucleotide ribosomal RNA is filed under the name uncultured bacterium. RNAcentral describes it as "partial 16S ribosomal RNA". It matches the Rfam family "Bacterial small subunit ribosomal RNA", at positions 28 to 507 of the family's 1533-position model. The record is from RNAcentral.